CCACCUCCUCAGAAGCUCGACCUCGUGUUCCUCAAUCAACCUUUGGAUGUCGGCAAUCUCAGGCCGCCGGAAGCCGCCGCUGGUUGCUAGCGAUACCGGAUCGAGCCAGAACUUGGCGACAUCAUCGUCACGCUCAACGUGGAUAUGCGGCGGCUCGUUGCGGUCGCCCGCGAAGAAGAAAAAGCGGU
This 188-nucleotide unclassified non-coding RNA is filed under the name plant metagenome. Its description in RNAcentral is "partial contains 5.8S ribosomal RNA, internal transcribed spacer 2, and large subunit ribosomal RNA". The record is from RNAcentral.